This 253-nucleotide ribosomal RNA is filed under the name uncultured bacterium. RNAcentral's name for it is "partial 16S ribosomal RNA". It matches the Rfam family "Bacterial small subunit ribosomal RNA", at positions 524 to 776 of the family's 1533-position model. The record is from RNAcentral.
UACAGAGGGGGCUAGCGUUGUUCGGAAUUACUGGGCGUAAAGCGCACGUAGGCGGCUUUGUAAGUUAGAGGUGAAAGCCCGGGGCUCAACCCCGGAAUUGCCUUUAAGACUGCAUCGCUAGAAUUGUGGAGAGGUGAGUGGAAUUCCGAGUGUAGAGGUGAAAUUCGUAGAUAUUCGGAAGAACACCAGUGGCGAAGGCGAUUCACUGGACACAUAUUGACGCUGAGGCUCGAAAGCAUGGGGAGCAAACAGG